This is a long non-coding RNA of Vombatus ursinus (common wombat), 876 nucleotides long. RefSeq lists it as uncharacterized. Lineage: Eukaryota; Metazoa; Chordata; Mammalia; Diprotodontia; Vombatidae. The record is from RefSeq and is a predicted model, not a curated record. The transcript is spliced from 3 exons.
CACAGUCAUCCUUACCUGCCCAAGCUUAAUGUCCAUUUGGAACACUUCUUCCAAUCAAGUGUCCCUGACCUCCCUGUCAUGAGCAUUUAGGGUUAAAGUCGGAGGCAUUUAGGGUCAGGGUUAGACUGUCCUGCCUCCCAGAUCCCACCCCUGCUCCCCUGCCCCAGGCCUCCUGCUCCCCCAGCCCCACAUCUUUAAGAGCUCUCGGGUCCCACACAGGCGGCUGGAUCCCAGCCUGGGUUUUGUCUCCCAGUCUCGGGCUUUCCUUGGCUGCUCCAUUCCAGAGCCCUCCCCUUCCUCAGCCUUCCCUAACCUCCCUCCCUGCUAGAUCUAGCAGUCAGUCUAUUGUUUAAAUAAUGUGUGUUAAUUGAGGAGAGGGGAUGCAGGGAGGGCAGAGGAUCAGUUCCAGGGAGAGCUCUGUCUCAGGGGUCAUUGAGACUCUGACUGGUCUCAUCCUGUCUGGGAUCCCAAGCUUCAUCUUCCUCUGAGGGCUCUGUAGGAGGAUGGGGGAAAAGAGGGGUGCAGAAGAGAAGUAAGAGGAGGGAAGUAGUUUUCCUUUUGAGAUCAGCUUCAUUUCCUACCCUGACCCUCCCUGCUGCUUCCCUCCCUCUACAGGUUGGAGUCCUUUCCCUGAGGGCAAGGCCUGGGUCUUCCUAACUCCUAUGGGACCUUGCCCUCUGUAAAUUCCAGUUGGGCAGCCUCCUGCCUAUGAAGAGAGGAGAAAGAGCUCUUCUCUGGGAUCCGUCUCCCUCCCCAGCUCAGUCUGCAGAGGAACAAAACCUACCCCAAGAAGGGAGCCUGGAUUGAGAGAGAAUGGCUCCUGGGAGCAGCCAAGCCCCAGCCCAGCAAUACCAGGAUCUAAGACAUCUCCAAAAG